GACGAACGCUGGCGGCGUGCUUAACACAUGCAAGUCGAACGGAAAGGCCCUGCUUUUGUGGGGUGCUCGAGUGGCGAACGGGUGAGUAACACGUGAGUAACCUGCCCUUGUCAUUGUGAUAAAUUCAGGAAACUGGGGCUAAUACCGGGUAUGAUCUACUGCUGCAUGGUGUGGGUUGGAAAGUUUCGGCGGUUGGGGAUGGACUCGCGGCUUAUCAGCUUGUUGGUGGGGUAGUGGCGUACCAAGGCUUUGACGGGUAGCCGGCCUGAGAGGGUGACCGGCGACAUGGCGACUGAGGUACGGACCAGACUCCUACGGGCGGCAGUGGUGGGGAAUAUUGCGGAGUGGCGGGAAGCCAGAUGUAGAAGCGCCGCGUGCGGGAUGACGGCCUUCGAGUUGUAAACCGCUUUCGCAUGUGACGAACCGUGAUUGACGGUAAUGGGUAAGAAAGCACCGGCUAACUACGUG
Molecule: ribosomal RNA, 468 nt
Filed under: uncultured bacterium
Lineage: Bacteria
Description: partial 16S ribosomal RNA
Rfam family: Bacterial small subunit ribosomal RNA
Source: RNAcentral